This 497-nucleotide ribosomal RNA is filed under the name uncultured bacterium. Its description in RNAcentral is "partial 16S ribosomal RNA". It matches the Rfam family "Bacterial small subunit ribosomal RNA", at positions 28 to 507 of the family's 1533-position model. The record is from RNAcentral.
GAUGAACGCUGGCGGCGUGCCUAAUACAUGCAAGUCGAGCGAACAGACGAGGAGCUUGCUCCUCUGACGUUAGCGGCGGACGGGUGAGUAACACGUGGAUAACCUACCUAUAAGACUGGGAUAACUUCGGGAAACCGGAGCUAAUACCGGAUAAUAUAUUGAACCGCAUGGUUCAAUAGUGAAAGACGGUUUUGCUGUCACUUAUAGAUGGAUCCGCGCCGCAUUAGCUAGUUGGUAAGGUAACGGCUUACCAAGGCAACGAUGCGUAGCCGACCUGAGAGGGGGAUAGGCCACACUGGAACGGAGACAGGGUCCAGACUCCUACGGGAGGCAGCAGUAGGGAAUCUUCCGCAAUGGGCGAAAGCCUGACGGAGCAACGCCGCGUGAGUGAUGAAGGUCUUCGGAUCGUAAAACUCUGUUAUUAGGGAAGAACAAAUGUGUAAGUAACUAUGCACGUCUUGACGGUACCUAAUCAGAAAGCCACGGCUAACUACGUG